AAGGAAUGACAAGCUGACCACAGGCUGUAGAAGAAGUGUAGGUCGAGAUGCUGGAUUAUGCAGCGCUUCCUGUCUAGAGAGAAAUCACUGAAAAAGGUUUUAUUGAAAGUGGUAAAAGAGGCAUCACAAGCAAUAGGGACCAGUUCAGUUUUGAAGUGGAUUUGAAGGAUCUUCAUAUUAGAAAUACCUCAUAAAUGACUCCAUUAUAAAAACUAUACCCCCCAAAGUAUUCAAAAUGACAUUUAGUCAGUGUUUUAACCCUUUCACAGGAAUAGCAGCAAAGUGAAGUAGAAAAUUCAAAAUCUAUAUUUUUUACACUCUCAUGUUCUUGUAGACCCAAUUUUUGAAUUUUUGCAAGGGGUAAAAGGAGAAAAUUUGUACUUGUAUUUGUAGCCCAAUUUCUCUCGAGUAAGCACAUACCUCAUAUGUCUAUGUAAAUUGUUCAACGGGCGCAGUAGAUGGCUCAGAAGGGUAGGAGCGACAAGGGGAUUUUGGAGAGAACAUUUUUCUGAAAUGUUUUUUGGGGGGCAUGUCACCUUUAGGAAGCCCCUAGGGUGUCAAAAUAGCAAAAAAAAUAAAUAAACACAUGGCAUACCAUUUUGGAAACUUCACCCCUCGGGGAAUGUAACAU
Long non-coding RNA from Hyla sarda, 631 nucleotides. RefSeq lists it as uncharacterized. The transcript is spliced from 3 exons. The record is from RefSeq and is a predicted model, not a curated record. Lineage: Eukaryota; Metazoa; Chordata; Amphibia; Anura; Hylidae.